AAAUUUGCAAUAAAAAAGAGGAGUAGCAAAAAAUUUUUAUUUAGAGAAAAGUCGUUUGGUGAAAGACUUUAAAAAUUUUUGUGAAGGUUGCUUUUUUGCACCUUUUAGGCGAAUGAUCCCGUUAGAGAUUUUAAAGAGCCUCAAAUUUGAGGAAUUAAGGUGGUACCGCGUCUCUCGUCCUUAUU
Molecule: non-coding RNA, 185 nt
Filed under: Peptoniphilus sp.
Lineage: Bacteria; Bacillati; Bacillota; Tissierellia; Tissierellales; Peptoniphilaceae
Description: T-box sequence
Rfam family: T-box leader
About the family: Uncharged tRNA acts as the effector for transcription antitermination of genes in the T-box leader family. T-boxes are found upstream of many aminoacyl-tRNA synthetase genes and some amino acid biosynthetic genes usually in Gram-positive bacteria.
Source: RNAcentral